CCUACGGGGGGCAGCAGUGGGGAAUAUUGGACAAUGGGCGAAAGCCUGAUCCAGCCAUGCCGCGUGUGUGAAGAAGGCCUUCGGGUUGUAAAGCACUUUCAGUGGGGAAGAAAGCCUUGGGGCUAAUACCCUCGAGGAAGGACAUCACCCACAGAAGAAGCACCGGCUAACUCCGUGCCAGCAGCCGCGGUAAUACGGAGGGUGCGAGCGUUAAUCGGAAUUACUGGGCGUAAAGCGCGCGUAGGCGGUCUGAUAAGCCGGUUGUGAAAGCCCCGGGCUCAACCUGGGAACGGCAUCCGGAAUGGCCAGGAUGGAGUGCAGGGAAGGAGGGUAGAAUCCCGGGGGUAGCAGUGAAAUGCGGAGAGAUGGGGAGGAAUACAGGUGGAGAAGGCGGCCCUCUGGACUGACACUGACGCUGAGGUGCGAAAGCGUGGGUAGCAAACAGGAUUAGAUACCCGAGUAGUC
RNAcentral lists this ribosomal RNA (465 nucleotides) under Vreelandella stevensii. RNAcentral's name for it is "partial 16S ribosomal RNA". It matches the Rfam family "Bacterial small subunit ribosomal RNA", at positions 338 to 795 of the family's 1533-position model. The record is from RNAcentral. Lineage: Bacteria; Pseudomonadati; Pseudomonadota; Gammaproteobacteria; Oceanospirillales; Halomonadaceae.